GCCAGGCAUGGUGGUAUGUGCCUGUAGUCCUAGCUACUUGGGAGGCUUAGGUGGGAGGAUGGCUUGAGCCCAGGAGUCUGAGAGUACAGUGAGCUAUAUCUCACCACUGUACUCCAGCCUGGGCAACAGAGCAAGACUCCAUCUCUA
Unclassified non-coding RNA from Macaca fascicularis (crab-eating macaque), 147 nucleotides. It matches the Rfam family "Metazoan signal recognition particle RNA". From Rfam's summary of the family: The signal recognition particle (SRP) is a universally conserved ribonucleoprotein. It is involved in the co-translational targeting of proteins to membranes. The eukaryotic SRP consists of a 300-nucleotide 7S RNA and six proteins: SRPs 72, 68, 54, 19, 14, and 9. Lineage: Eukaryota; Metazoa; Chordata; Mammalia; Primates; Cercopithecidae. The record is from Ensembl.